RNAcentral lists this long non-coding RNA (221 nucleotides) under Mytilus galloprovincialis (Mediterranean mussel). The record is from RNAcentral. Lineage: Eukaryota; Metazoa; Mollusca; Bivalvia; Mytilida; Mytilidae.
UGCACUUUUUACAGGUAUACUGUUGGUGUAUUUAAUAAAAAUUGGUGGUAACAGCAUAGACAUGAAAAAAAGUACGCUAUAUUUUUUUCACUAAAUGUCUUGAAAUUUCUUUUCUCUACACUGUCGUUCAAGAAACGAGGCGUUUUAAAUGUAAAGAUUACUUUGUACUUUUGAGACCAACACUGACUGAUUCAAUAUUCAGAGGGAGAAUAAUUUAACGG